CUGGAAUAAACGCCCUCACGGGUGCUACCCAGAAACCCUUUGUGAAUACUACCUAGAAUGUUGCCUCGGCAUUGGUUGGCCUCUUUGAGGUCCCUUUCCCUCGGGGAAGGAGCAGACCGGCCGGUGGCCCUAUAAACUCUUGUUUUUGUAAUAUCAUCUGAGUAAAAAACAUAAAUAAAUCAAAACUUUCAACAACGGA
Molecule: unclassified non-coding RNA, 199 nt
Filed under: uncultured Gnomoniaceae
Lineage: Eukaryota; Fungi; Ascomycota; Sordariomycetes; Diaporthales; Gnomoniaceae
Source: RNAcentral